CUUUUGAGACCCCUUUUAGUAGAAAUGGAUGUAGUAACUUUUGGCAUAAUAAUAGGAAUAAUAAUACUAUUUUUCUGUGCUGUUUGUGUAAUCACCAUAGAAGGCACUUGCAAGAACCGCUCUUCUUGAUUCCUAAUACCCUUUAUCCAAACACGCCCUUAUCAUCUCACCCUUCCAUAAAUUUAGGGUUUUUAGCUGAUUUUGUUCUUGCCCAAAUUGACAAAAUGUCGAAAAAAAUUGAUGCUUUGGUGAAACAGAUCUGCUUCUUCUUGAUUGUUUCUACUUCUUUAUGGCUAGUGAUUUUUGGGUCUUCUGUAGAAGCGAAGGCUCUAGAAGAUCCCAAGCAGGAAUUUCAUCAGUGUAGCCAUGGUCAUGGUCAUCAUGGCCAUGAGGGGCAUCACCAUGAUCAUGAUCAUGGGUCGAGUGGAGUUGAGCAGAGGAAGCUUCUAGAGGAAUUGGCUGAAGAGGAGGAUCUGAAACUGUAUGGAUUUGGG
RNAcentral lists this unclassified non-coding RNA (494 nucleotides) under Hevea brasiliensis (rubber tree). The record is from RNAcentral. Lineage: Eukaryota; Viridiplantae; Streptophyta; Magnoliopsida; Malpighiales; Euphorbiaceae.